This 406-nucleotide ribosomal RNA is filed under the name uncultured bacterium. RNAcentral's name for it is "partial 16S ribosomal RNA". It matches the Rfam family "Bacterial small subunit ribosomal RNA", at positions 29 to 526 of the family's 1533-position model. The record is from RNAcentral.
AUUGAACGCUGGCGGCAGGCCUAACACAUGCAAGUCGAACGAGUGGCGGACGGGUGAGUAAUGUCUGGGAAACUGCCUGAUGGAGGGGGAUAACUACUGGAAACGGUAGCUAAUACCGCCUACCAUCGGAUGUGCCCAGAUGGGAUUAGCUAGUAGGUGGGGUAAAGGCUCACCUAGGCGACGAUCCCUAGCUGGUCUGAGAGGAUGAACAGACACACUGGAACUGAGACACGGGCCAGACGACUACGGGAGGCAGCAGGGGGGAAUAGUGAACAAUGGGAGCAAGCCUGAUGCAGCCAGGCCGGGUGUAUGAAGAAGGCCUUCGGGUUGUAAAGUACUGUCAGCGGGGAGGCGUUACCCGCAGAAGAAGCACCGGCUAACUCCGUGACAGCCGCCGCGGUAAUAC